RNAcentral lists this ribosomal RNA (442 nucleotides) under uncultured bacterium. RNAcentral's name for it is "bacterial SSU rRNA". It matches the Rfam family "Bacterial small subunit ribosomal RNA", at positions 958 to 1400 of the family's 1533-position model. The record is from RNAcentral.
AACGCGAAGAACCUUACCUGGGUUUGACAUCCCUUGACCGGCACAGAGAUGUGUCUUUUGUAGCAAUACAACAAGGAGACAGGUGCUGCAUGGCUGUCGUCAGCUCGUGUGGUGACAUGUUGGGUUAAGUCCCGCAACGAGCGCAACCCCUGUCCUUAGUUGCCAGCAUUCAGUUGGGCUCUCUAAGGAGACUGCCGUGGUGAACACGGAGGAAGGUGGGGAUGACGUCAAGUCCUCAUGGCCUUUAUAUCCAGGGCGACACACGUGAUACAAUGGACGGUACAGAGGGACGCCAAGGAGCGAUCCGGAGCCAAUCCCAAAAAGCCGUUCUCAGUUCGGAUUGGAGUCUGCAAUUCGACUCCAUGAAGUUGGAAUCGCUAGUAAUCGCGGAUCAGCACGCCGCGGUGAAUACGUUCCCGGGCCUUGUACACACCGUAGAGAC